RNAcentral lists this ribosomal RNA (222 nucleotides) under uncultured Arthrospira sp. RNAcentral describes it as "partial 16S ribosomal RNA". It matches the Rfam family "Bacterial small subunit ribosomal RNA", at positions 1160 to 1382 of the family's 1533-position model. The record is from RNAcentral. Lineage: Bacteria; Bacillati; Cyanobacteriota; Cyanophyceae; Oscillatoriales; Microcoleaceae.
UAAACUGAGGAAGUGGGGAUGACGUCAAGUCAGCAUGCCCCUUACGUCCUGGGCGACACACGUACUACAAUGGGUAAGACAAAGGGUAGCCAAGUCGCGAGGCCGAGCCAAUCCCAUAAACUUAUCCUCAGUUCAGAUUGCAGGCUGCAACUCGCCUGCAUGAAGGAGGAAUCGCUAGUAAUCGCAGGUCAGCAUACUGCGGUGAAUCCGUUCCCGGGCCUU